CAAGCGGUUGCUCCGGAAAUAUCGACGUCAAGGGUAGGUAGUGGUCUCAUCGUACGAGGUGAAGCCUCGAGCUACUCAGAAGUCCUCGAUAACGGUGAGACUAGAAUCUUGAGAGGGUCGUGGAUUCGCGGAUGUAGCGGUGAAAUGCGUAGUGAUCGGGAGGUACACCAGAGCGAAGGCGGCGACCUGGACAAGUAUUGACACUCAACUAGGAAAGCGUGGGGAGCAAACAGGAUUAGAUACCAUGGUAGUCCCGCUGUAAACGAUGGGUACUAGGUUUCGUGGGUCUUGACCCCCGCCGAACCGGCGCUAACGCACUAAGCACCCAGCCUGGGAAGUACGGUCGCAAGACUAAAACUCAAAUGAAUUGACGGGGGCCCGCACAAGCGGUGGAUCAUGUGGUCUAAUUCGAAGCAACGCGAAGAACCUUACCUGGAUUUGACAUCUCCUGACAACCCUAGAGAUAGGGCUUCUGUAGCAAUACAGCAGGAUGACAGGUGCUGCAUGGCUGUCGUCAGCUCGUGUGGUGACAUGUUGGGUUAAGUCCCGCAACGAGCGCAACCCUUGUCUUUAGUUGCCAGCAUUCAGUUGGGCACUCUAAAGAGACUGCCGUGGUUAACACGGAGGAAGGUGGGGAUGACGUCAAGUCCUCAUGGCCUUUAUAUCCAGGGCGACACACGUGAUACAAUGGACGGUACAGAGGGACGCCAAGAGGCAACUCGGAGCUAAUCUCAAAAAGCCGUUCUCAGUUCGGAUUGGAGUCUGCAACUCGACUCCAUGAAGUUGGAAUCGCUAGUAAUCGCGGAUCAGCACGCCGCGGUGAAUACGUUCCCGGGCCUUGUACACACCGCCCGUCACACCAUGGGAGCUGACUCAACCAGAAGACGAUCAGGCUAACCGCAAGGAGGCCUUCGGCGAAGGUGGGGUUGGUGACUGGGGUGAAGUCGUAACAAGGUAACCAAGGCGAAUCGUAGAAAAUUACUUAUGUCAUA
This 992-nucleotide ribosomal RNA is filed under the name uncultured soil bacterium. RNAcentral's name for it is "SSU rRNA". It matches the Rfam family "Bacterial small subunit ribosomal RNA", at positions 535 to 1533 of the family's 1533-position model. The record is from RNAcentral.